Molecule: long non-coding RNA, 992 nt
Filed under: Homo sapiens (human)
Lineage: Eukaryota; Metazoa; Chordata; Mammalia; Primates; Hominidae
Description: HSALNT0271791
Source: RNAcentral
AUAAUGUUUUAGAAAAGAACUAAGGUUGCAAAAUGCAGAAGGACAAGGGACAAGGGGAUUGCAAAUACAUGCAACAGAAUGAUUAUAAUGAUAGCUCAUAGAAACCAAAGCAGGUAAUGAGAAGAAUGAAGACAUAAUGGAAAUGACAAUCAGCAGCAAGUCAAAGGAUUGAAGGAAGUUCAGACACAGUCAAGUUAACCUGGUCCUCUCCUCUGCAGAAAAGGUGGGUCCCCGACAAAACCCCACCCUCAAGUCUGAAACCAUGACCCAAAGUGAGAACUUACACCUCUGCUUUACUGUUCUACUGUUGCCUUUUUCCUAAACCAUCCAUGACCCCUCCUCCCAUCCUGUGCCUGUAAAAACUGGCAGAGAGGAAGGUAGCUGGACAUUGAAGCCUACGGUUGGAUGUCAGAGAGAAGCGGCUUGACUCUAGAAAGACAGCUUGGUGGCAUAACUUCGGAGAAGAAUCUGGUCAGAGAUGGUCGGAAUUCAGGGGAAGAUGAUCAUCCUGCCCCAUCCCCUUUUCAGCUCCCCUUCCCAUUGAAAGCCACUUUUAUCAGCCAUAAAAUCACCUGAAUUUACCAUCCUUCAAUUCAUGCAACCUAAUUUCUCUUGGACUCCGGACAAGAGCUCGGGAGACCCAAGUAUGGAUACAAAAGGCAGAGGGCCCAUUGAGCUGUUAACAUUUAAGCAGUCCACGGAUGGCAGAGCAAAAAAAGCACUGUAACACUCCCUCUGGGGCUUCCGGGGUUGCAGGCACCUCCCCCAGAUGCUACCGCGGGGCCUGCACGGAGUUUGCUCCUGCCGCCGCCCAAAAAUGCUUGCCCUGACUCCUGCAAUGGCUCACCUGUGCAGCAGGUCCCAGUGAGUGGAGUUCGGCCCUGCUGGCGUUGAAACAGCUGGCUGCUUCCAGCGUUCAUGCACUCCAGUUUCACGAGGAGUUGAAAACUGCAGUCUAGCCUGCUCCAGCCCCCACCUUUACUGCUACACAA